GAUGAAGAACGCAGCGAAGUGCGAUAAGUAAUGUGAAUUGCAGAAUUCAGUGAAUCAUCGAAUCUUUGAACGCACAUUGCGCCCCCUGGUAUUCCGGGGGGCAUGCCUGUUCGAGCGUCAUUUCACCACUCAAGCCUCGCUUGGUAUUGGGCAACGCGGUCCGCCGCGUGCCUCAAAUCGUCCGGCUGGGUCUUCUGUCCCCUAAGCGUUGUGGAAACUAUUCGCUAAAGGGUGUUCGGGAGGCUACGCCGUAAAACAACCCCAUUUCUAAGGUUGACCUCGGAUCAGGUAGGGAUACCCGCUGAACUUAAGCAUAUCAAUAAGCGGAGGA
RNAcentral lists this unclassified non-coding RNA (331 nucleotides) under soil metagenome. RNAcentral describes it as "partial contains 5.8S ribosomal RNA, internal transcribed spacer 2, and large subunit ribosomal RNA". The stretch from base 1 to 120 matches the Rfam family "5.8S ribosomal RNA", at positions 35 to 154 of the family's 154-position model. The record is from RNAcentral.